GUUUGAUCCUGGCUCAGGACGAACGCUGGCGGCGUGCUUAACACAUGCAAGUCAAGGAAAAGCGAGACUUCGGUUUCGUGGACACUGGCGCACGGGUGAGUAACGCGUAGGCAAUCUACCUUUAUCACUGACAUAACAGGCCUAACGGCCUGCUAAUGGCAGAUAGCACAAUCCGGUGGCAUCACUGAAUUGUGAAAGACUUCGGUUGGAUAAAGACGAGCCUGCGUCCCAUUAGGUAGUUGGCGGGGUAACGGCCCACCAAGCCUGCGAUGGGUAGCUGGUCUGAGAGGAUGAUCAGCCACAUUGGGACUGAGACACGGCCCAAACUCCUACGGGAGGCAGCAGUGAGGAAUAUUGCACAAUGGGGGAAACCCUGAUGCAGCAACGCCGCGUGUGGGAUGAAGGAGCUACGCUCUGUAAACCACUGUAGCUUGGGAAGAAACAGCUCUUAUGGAGCUUAGACUGUACCAAGAAAGUAAGGGACGGCUAACUACGUGCCAGCAGCCGCGGUAAUACGUAGGUCCCGAGCGUUGUCCGGAUUUACUGGGUGUAAAGGGUGCGCAGGCGGACAAGUAAGUUAGAGGUGAAAUCCCACGGCUCAACCGUGGAACUGCCUUUGAUACUGCUUGACUCGAAUACGGGAGAGGUCGGUGGAAUUCCAGGUGUAGCGGUGAAAUGCGUAGAUAUCUGGAAGAACACCAGUGGCGAAGGCGACCGACUGGCCCGUUAUUGACGCUCAUGCACGAAAGCGUGGGGAGCGAACAGGAUUAGAUACCCUGGUAGUCCACGCCCUAAACGAUGUACGCUUGGUGUCGGGGUUUUCGGACCUCGGUGCCGGAGGUAACCCAUUAAGCGUACCACCUGGGGAGUACGAUCGCAAGGUUGAAACUCAAAGGAAUUGACGGGGGCCCGCACAAGCGGUGGAUUAUGUGGUUUAAUUCGAUGCAACGCGAAGAACCUUACCUGGGCUCGAAAUGUAGGAAGUAGGACCCUGAAAGGGGAACCACCUGUCAAGUCAGGAACCUAUAUAGGUGCUGCAUGGCUGUCGUCAGCUCGUGCCGUGAGGUGUUGGGUUAAGUCCCGCAACGAGCGCAACCCCUGUCUCCAGUUGCCAGCAUGUAAUGAUGGGGACUCUGGAGAGACUGCCUACGCAAGUAGGAGGAAGGCGGGGACGACGUCAAGUCAUCAUGGUCCUUACGUCCAGGGCUACACACGUAAUACAAUGGUUGGUACAAUGAGCGAAGCCGCGAGGUGGAGGAAAUCUCAAAAGCCAAUCUCAGUUCGGAUGGGAGUCUGCAACUCGACUCCCUGAAGGUGGAAUCGCUAGUAAUCGUAGAUCAGCAAUGCUACGGUGAAUACGUUCCCGGGCCUUGUACACACCGCCCGUCAAGCCAUGGAAGUUGGGGGCGCCCGAAGUCGUUGAUGAAACGCCGAAGGCGAAACCAGUAACUGGGGCUAAGUCGAAACAAGGUA
Molecule: ribosomal RNA, 1473 nt
Filed under: metagenome
Description: bacterial SSU rRNA
Rfam family: Bacterial small subunit ribosomal RNA
Source: RNAcentral